This 253-nucleotide ribosomal RNA is filed under the name uncultured bacterium. RNAcentral describes it as "partial 16S ribosomal RNA". It matches the Rfam family "Bacterial small subunit ribosomal RNA", at positions 524 to 776 of the family's 1533-position model. The record is from RNAcentral.
UACGGAGGGUGCUAGCGUUGUUCGGAAUCACUGGGCGUAAAGGGCGCGUAGGCGGCGCGACAAGUCAGGCGUGAAAGCCCCGGGCUCAACCCGGGAAUUGCGCUUGAUACUGUCGUGCUUGAGGCCGGGAGAGGAUGGCGGAAUUCCCAGUGUAGAGGUGAAAUUCGUAGAUAUUGGGAAGAACACCGGUGGCGAAGGCGGCUCACUGGCUCGUUUCUGACGCUGUAGCGCGAAAGCGUGGGGAUCAAACAGG